GAUCGCAGAGAGCAGAGAGAGAGAGAGUCCUCCUCACUGUGAUCACAGGCUGUCACACACCACGGACCCACACACCGACCGGACAGGGACUGUUCAGACCCACACAUCGGUGCUUCCAUCACCGGGCAGGGCGCGCCGUCCUGGGGGUGAACUCUGCACGGAGUCAGCCUCUUCCUCUGGAGCUCUGGAGCUCUGUGCUCAGCUCCGCCACCUGCUUCCCUCGAUCUGUCUCCUCUGCAUGUUCCUGUGUGUGUGCAUGAGGACAGUUUUUUGCAGAGCUGUUUAAUGUGAGUGUUUCUCACUCACACACUCACACACACACACACGUUACUACCGGAUUGGACGCGAUGCCUCCUCCUCCUCCUCCUCCUGCAGAGCUUUAUCCCUCUUUCUGGAUGGAUUUCUGAAUGGUUUACUUACACACUGGAUUAGGAUAUGGAGUGACUCCUGCUUUGGGAAGUACAAACCUGCAGAACUACAGAAACAGUUGUUGAAUGGACCCGCUCUCAUCGGUCUGUGUGCUCGGCCGCAGCAGGAAACAGGAGGUUUGUCUCGGGAUGCAUCGUUGGAAGGAGAUGCAGUUUGAGGAGGUGUGUGAGCGAGCGGUUCAUGGUGGUCGAUGCAAUGAUGGAAGAGGAAACAUGCACCUGCAGUUACCUACAGUAACCACAGGUGCUGCCUUUUCAUCAGCGAUGGACAGCAUCAGCGGGCUGAGGUUGUUUGUUGGUGAUUUAUUCAGAGAUAAAUAAACAUUUACAGCAAAUUCAA
Molecule: long non-coding RNA, 768 nt
Organism: Notolabrus celidotus (New Zealand spotty)
Lineage: Eukaryota; Metazoa; Chordata; Actinopteri; Labriformes; Labridae
Exons: 2
Source: RefSeq, a predicted model, not a curated record